CGAGGAAGGGCGUAGUAAGCGACAAAAUGAUUCAGGGAGUUGAAAAUAAGCAUAGAUCUGAAGAUUCCCGAAUAGGUUAACCUUUUGAACUGCUGCUGAAUCCAUGGGCAGGCAAGAG
This 118-nucleotide non-coding RNA is filed under the name Brassica napus (rape). Lineage: Eukaryota; Viridiplantae; Streptophyta; Magnoliopsida; Brassicales; Brassicaceae. The record is from Rfam by way of RNAcentral.